Molecule: long non-coding RNA, 331 nt
Filed under: Mus spicilegus (steppe mouse)
Lineage: Eukaryota; Metazoa; Chordata; Mammalia; Rodentia; Muridae
Description: lncRNA (ENSMSIG00000010849.1)
Source: RNAcentral
UGUGCCAUUACUUGCAAAGACAAAUGGCCUGUCCACCUUUUGGGGUGUAAUUUAAAAGCCAUUUGUCUAGUGGUAAUAACUGGAAAUGGACUUCCACUGUAGGAUCCUACGACUUCCUGUAUGAGCAGCGCUGAUGGCGUGUGGCCACCUCAGGACUGGUUGGCCAGGCUGUUUCAGAACCUUAUUGUUUUCACGGGAGGAAGUGCUGAGCACCGGAAGUGCGGAGCAGCUGGAAGCUUACGGUGGAGCUGAGGGAAGCCAGACAGCGGACUCUCAUUUCACGCCCUUUAGCAGCAGGAAUAAGAAGGCAACUGGAGAGCUGCAGUUUUAA